AUCUUAGCGGUGGAUCACUCGGUUCGUGGAUCGAUGAAGAACGCAGCUAGCUGCGAUAAAUAGUGCGAAUUGCAGACACAUUGAGCACUAAAAUUUCGAACGCACAUUGCGCCAUCGGGUUCAUUCCCAUUGGCACGUCUGGCUGAGGGUCAGUAUAUUAAGGAGUAUGAUCGGCGCGCCAAUUUAUGGAAUGUGCUUAACGCGCAAGGUUGUGGUGCAUUCUCUCGCAAGGUGCAUUCGGUGAGCUAUGCUGGUGUGGUAAUGGAUAUUGUGUAAUUGUACCGCGUACCUUGCCAAGCAAAUGUUUGCACAAGAAAUGGCUGUCGUUUGCUCGUAAAGAGGCGAAAUUGGCCAUCGGUGUAUGUUGUGUUGCUUCACGAUACGGCCUCCAGCAAACGUUGUUUAUUGAUUGAUUGUGGCAGCACCCAGGUUGGAGGUGGCAUUAUCGGUCGCUUGAAUGAGGAAUGCAUGGGGAAUGGUUGAAAUGAGAUUUUUUUUGACCUCAGCUCAGUCGUGAGCACCCGCUGAAUUUAAGCAUAUAACUAAGCGGAGGGAAAGAAACUAACGAGGAUUCCUCUAGUAACGGCGAGUGAAUGGGGAAAAGCCCAGCCCUGAAUCCAUUGCCCACUGGUCGCUUGGAAUUGUAGCGUAUAGGUGCGGUUGUCCGUUUGUUUCGCGCACCCAAAGUCCCCUUGAGUGGGGCUAUAGUCCAAAGAAGGUGCUAGACCUGUACGGGUGGCGAGACGAUCGGUUGGUUGCUCCUUGGAGUCGGGUUGCCUGGGAUCGCAGCCCAAAGUUGGUGGUAGACCUCAUCUAAGGCUAAAUAUGGCCAUGAAACCGAUAGCAAACAAGUACCGUGAGGGAAAGUUGCAAAGAACUUUGAAGAGAGAGUUCAAGAGGGCGUGAAACCGCUGAGAU
Molecule: non-coding RNA, 918 nt
Filed under: Toxocara canis (dog roundworm)
Lineage: Eukaryota; Metazoa; Nematoda; Chromadorea; Rhabditida; Toxocaridae
Description: Bacterial large subunit ribosomal RNA
Rfam family: Eukaryotic large subunit ribosomal RNA (bases 498-918)
Source: Rfam by way of RNAcentral